UACGGGGGGGGCAAGCGUUGUUCGGAAUUACUGGGCGUAAAGAGCUCGUAGGCGGUGUGUCGCGUCGGCCGUGAAAACCUGUGGCUUAACUGCGGGCUUGCGGUCGAUACGGGCAUCACUGGAGUUCGGCAGGGGAGACUGGAAUUCCUGGUGUAGCGGUGAAAUGCGCAGAUAUCAGGAGGAACACCGGUGGCGAAGGCGGGUCUCUGGGCCGAUACUGACGCUGAGGAGCGAAAGCGUGGGGAGCGAACAGG
RNAcentral lists this ribosomal RNA (254 nucleotides) under uncultured bacterium. RNAcentral describes it as "partial 16S ribosomal RNA". It matches the Rfam family "Bacterial small subunit ribosomal RNA", at positions 524 to 776 of the family's 1533-position model. The record is from RNAcentral.